ACGGUUGACUUCAUCGCCUCAUUAAAUCGGGGAGGAAAGUCCGGACAGCGUAGAGUACCAUACUUCUCAAAAGGAAGGGUCGUCUAACGAGAUGACACAGAAAGUGCUAAAGAGAUUUAAACCGCCGAUGACUUAGGUUGAAAAACUUGAGAACAGGUAAGGCUGAAAAGGUGAGGUAAGAGCUCACCAGUAAUGAAGUGAUUCAUUAGCUUAGGUAAACCUUAUGGGCUGCAAGACCAUGUAAACUAGUGUUUGAGGGCUACUCGUUCGAUACUAGAGGGUAGGUCGCACUAGAUCAAUGAUGAAGCUUCGAUAAAGUGUUAUCACUGAAUCGGAGAACAGAAUCCGGCUUACACCGUAAAA
RNAcentral lists this RNase P RNA (363 nucleotides) under Bacteroidota bacterium. RNAcentral's name for it is "Bacteroidetes bacterium RNase P RNA component class A". It matches the Rfam family "Bacterial RNase P class A". Rfam says of the family: Ribonuclease P (RNase P) is a ubiquitous endoribonuclease, found in archaea, bacteria and eukarya as well as chloroplasts and mitochondria. Lineage: Bacteria; Pseudomonadati; Bacteroidota. The record is from RNAcentral.